AGGUUAAGUUAGAAAGGGCGCAUGGUGGAUGCCUUGGCACUAGGAGCCUAAGAAGGACGGCACUAACACCGAUAUGCUCCGGGGAGCUGUAAGUAAGCUUUGAUCCGGAGAUUUCCGAAUGGGGAAACCCACUGUCCAUAAUGGGACAGUACGUUUACGUGAAUACAUAGCGUAAACGAGGCACACCCGGAGAACUGAAACAUCUAAGUAUCCGGAGGAAUAGAAAGAAAAAUCGAUUCCCUGAGUAGCGGCGAGCGAAACGGGAAGAGCCCAAACCAAGAAGCUUGCUUCUUGGGGUUGUAGGACACUCUAUACGGAGUUACAAAGGAAUGGAUUAGACGAAGCGACCUGGAAAGGUCCGCCGUAGCGGGUAAAAGCCCCGUAGUCGAAAGUUCAUUCUCUCCAGAGUGUAUCCUGAGUACGGCGGAACACGUGAAAUUCCGUCGGAAUCCGGGAGGACCAUCUCCCAAGGCUAAAUACUCCCUAGUGACCGAUAGUGAACCAGUACCGUGAGGGAAAGGUGAAAAGCACCCCGGAAGGGGAGUGAAAUAGAUCCUGAAACCAUGUGCCUACAAGUUGUCAGAGCCCGUUAAUGGGUGAUGGCGUGCCUUUUGUAGAAUGAACCGGCGAGUUACGAUUCCAUGCAAGGUUAAGCAGAGAAUGCGGAGCCGCAGCGAAAGCGAGUCUGAAUAGGGCGAUAGAGUAUGGGGUCGUAGACCCGAAACCAGGUGAUCUACCCAUGUCCAGGGUGAAGGUAAGGUAACACUUACUGGAGGCCCGAACCCACGUACGUUGAAAAGUGCGGGGAUGAGGUGUGGGUAGCGGUGAAAUUCCAAUCGAACCUGGAGAUAGCUGGUUCUCUCCGAAAUAGCUUUAGGGCUAGCCUCAAACUUAAGAAUCUCGGAGGUAGAGCACUGUUUGGACUAGGGGCCCAUCCCGGGUUACCGAAUUCAGACAAACUCCGAAUGCCGAUGAUUUAUGUUUGGGAGUCAGACUGCGGGUGAUAAGAUCCGUAGUCGAGAGGGAAACAGCCCAGACCACCAGUUAAGGUCCCCAAGUAUUCGUUAAGUGGAAAAGGAUGUGGCGUUGCCCAGACAACCAGGAUGUUGGCUUAGAAGCAGCCAUCAUUUAAAGAGUGCGUAAUAGCUCACUGGUCGAGUGGCGCUGCGCCGAAAAUGUACCGGGGCUAAACGAAUCACCGAAACUGUGGAUUGACAUCUUAGAUGUCAGUGGUAGGAGAGCGUUCCAAGGGCGUCGAAGCUAGACCGUAAGGACUGGUGGAGCGCUUGGAAGUGAGAAUGCCGGUAUGAGUAGCGAAAGAAGGGUGAGAAUCCCUUCCACCGAAUGCCCAAGGUUUCCUGAGGAAGGCUCGUCCGCUCAGGGUUAGUCAGGACCUAAGUUGAGGCCGAAAGGCGUAGACGAUGGACAACAGGUUGAUAUUCCUGUACCACCUCCCCGCCGUUUGAGCAAUGGGGUGACGCAGUAGGAUAGGGUGAGCGCGCUGUUGGUUAUGCGCGUCUAAGCAGUGAGGUGUGAAAUGAGGCAAAUCCCAUUUCUAUAACAUUGAGCUGUGAUAGCAAGGGGAUUUAUCCCUGAGUCCCUGAUUUCACGCUGCCAAGAAAAGCCUCUAGCGAGGCGGGAGGUGCCUGUACCGCAAACCGACACAGGUAGGCGAGGAGAGAAUCCUAAGGUGAUCGAGAGAACUCUCGUUAAGGAACUCGGCAAAAUGACCCCGUAACUUCGGGAGAAGGGGUGCUCUGGUAGGGUGUUAAAGCCCGAGAGAGCCGCAGUGAAUAGGCCCAGGCGACUGUUUAGCAAAAACACAGGUCUCUGCAAAACCGCAAGGUGAAGUAUAGGGGCUGACGCCUGCCCGGUGCUGGAAGGUUAAGAGGAGAGGUCAGCGCAAGCGAAGCUUCGAAUUGAAGCCCC
This 1929-nucleotide ribosomal RNA is filed under the name Escherichia coli. RNAcentral's name for it is "partial 23S ribosomal RNA". It matches the Rfam family "Bacterial large subunit ribosomal RNA", at positions 1 to 1921 of the family's 2925-position model. Lineage: Bacteria; Pseudomonadati; Pseudomonadota; Gammaproteobacteria; Enterobacterales; Enterobacteriaceae. The record is from RNAcentral.